Long non-coding RNA from Mustela lutreola (European mink), 2631 nucleotides. RefSeq lists it as uncharacterized. Lineage: Eukaryota; Metazoa; Chordata; Mammalia; Carnivora; Mustelidae. The record is from RefSeq and is a predicted model, not a curated record. The transcript is spliced from 6 exons.
GAGGCCUCUAGAGCCAACAGCCAGGAUGGAAAAGGCAGACUGUGGGAAGGGUCCUUCUGGGCAGAAGGGAAGGUCGUUCAGAUACCCAGAAGUUCUCUGUCAAAAUCUGACUUUGAGGCAAAUCAAAACUCGAUUUUCAGAAGCGAUGGAGACAGGAUCCAGAAGACUGAGGUGAAAUGCUUAACAGUCAGACGGUACAGCACCGCCGCCAUGAAAAAGCCAAAAGCCACAGCCUCCUCAGCCCCGCACCUAGAUGGGCUCACUCUGGACAUGGUCCGACCCCGCGUAUGCGUUGCCCUGAACGUUAUCCCGCUCUUGGCACGGCUUUCCCUGUACAUAGUGACCACCCCACGUUUGGCUCGACCUCAAAGUGGCCCCGUCCUGAGGGCGCCUACCUGGACGUGGCCCGCCCGCGAGCGUGGCUCACCCUGGGGUAAUACCGCCCCUGGGUGUGGCUUUCCCGAGACGAAGCCCGCCCCUGGAUGCAGUCCCCUCCUGGAUGUGACCCGCGAAAGGGUGUGCUUCCCCUGUACGUAGCCACACCCCAGUGCAACUCGCCCUGUGCGUGGCUCCACCCCCAGAGAAGGCGGGUAGGGACCUGCCCUGCGAAAUUCAUUCAUUUACUGCCUCUUCCGUCUAGAAGUUUUUGAACUCUGCUGGCGUGCCAGACUGUAUUGAGGUGGCCCUUCUAUGAGAGGGGAUUAAGAAAUCUGCAUUGAGAUUGCAGCCCAAGAUGACAGAGGAGUAAGAGACCCUACUUUUGUCUGGUUGCAGGAAUUCAGCUAGAUAGCUAUCAAAUCAUUCUAAACACCUGUGAAAUCAAGGGGCGAUUGAUGAAAAGAACACCUGCAACUCUACAAACAGAAAAGUGACCAUGUUCUGCCAGCAAGUUACCAUGCUGGAGAAGCCCAUUUUAUAAGGAGCAAGUCAGCCCCAUCCAAGAGUCAGCAAGGGUACUGAGGAUCUCAUUCCAACAGACUUUGAGGAACUGCAUCCUGCCAGCAACUAUGUCACUGAGUACGGGAGUUGGUCCUUCCCCAGUCAAGCCUCCAGAUGAGAAUGUAGUAGCCUCAGCUGUCACCUCAAAUGCAGCCUUGAAUCAGAGAAUCCAGAAAACCCAGGGGACGACUUUGUCUAGGAGGUCCACACUUGGUAUUCCCAAUCAGAAUUCCUUUGUUCAUUGAGGACAUAGAAAAGGAAGCCCAACAGUCACACCUGUGCUGCCUCAGGUAUCCCGAUGUGAGUGAAAACUGACAGAUUACAAUGCAGGAAUCCCCGUGUUGGCAAGAAGCUGCCGCCAGCUCAAAUAUCUAGACCUCAGCUCUACAGGAAUAAGCAGAAGAGGAGUUUAUUCAUUGGCUAAUUAUUGUCACAUUAGUUUGGAACAUGUGAAACUCAAUCUCUGUAAGAAUGUCACCCUGGAUGUGGUUCAAAAACUGUGAAAACUGUAGAUGGUAAGAGAAUAUUGAUUUUUGUCCACUUGUUUCUCUUUCAGUCCUAAAUGUCAUCACAAAAUGAAAACUUGAUAUCAGCUAUGCAUUGGUUUAUUAAUGUUUAUAUUAUUAUUAUUUAUAAAUUCUCAGUAUUGUUUCCAUUUUAUCAACACAGAGUUCUAGCCAUCAUUAAAUAUUUCCCAGAAAAUAGCUUCUGGUAACUUCAUUUAAGACCAUACCAAGUUUUCAUGACUUCUCAUAUAGCACAAAAAUCAUAUUAGUUCCUUUGUACUUUGAAACUCAUUGAGAGUUCAGGAAAAAAUACUUGAGGCAUAUUAGAUACUUUUCAGUUAUGUUGGCCUCUGUCCUUGGGAUACCCUUUACCUGAAUGAUAGACAAGCCAGGGAAAGAAAAACAUUCGAGGAGUUUUUGGAGUUGAAACUACCAUUUCAGAUGUCCCAUAUUUCAAAAAUUAUUUGAUUAACCCUAGUCUCCUCAUGUGAAAUCUGAACUUCUUGGAGGAAAUCUGAGAUUUUUGUAAUGAGUUAAUCUUCCAGGAAAUAGAGGAAUCCAUAGAACAAAUACUUCUGUAUGGAACCCCAGAACUUUUUAGGUUUCAAAAUGAACAAAAUAAUGGAACAGUUUGAGGAAAUUCAGUUUGCUGAUUGUCUAUGUCUUAUAAAAAUUAACUAAUAAUUUGUUUACUACUAAAAAAUAUGAGAACUUAGAAGACAUAAUGGAAUUUACAUUAUUUUCCAAAAUCCUAAAUAUAUGGCAUUCCUCCACAAAUGUUGAAUAACCAGUGUUAGAACAACUAGAAAAACAGUAGAAAUAGUGAAGUUAAUUCUCUAACUCAUAACUGACCCAAACCAAAUUCCAGACAGAAUAGAACUUGAAAAGUAAAAGCAUGGAUUAAAAAAAAGGGGGGGGGCUUUCCUGUGCCUUGUUUAUUUGAGCUGACAUAAUUCAUACUAAGUAAUAUCUUUGUGAACAGGUCACAAUGAAAUUGUGGAAACUUUGGUAGGAACAGAAGGAUCCAACUCUUCCAUGAAGGCUGGGAAAUGGUAUGGUUAGACAGAAGAGGGGAAAAUUAAGUUUAAUAUUCACAUUUUGUGAUGAUAAUAAAGAGCUAUUAUGUUAAUUACAUAAUCCAGAUCUUUCCCUUGACAAAUUGUGACAACCAAUAAGGUCUCCAAAC